RNAcentral lists this ribosomal RNA (253 nucleotides) under uncultured prokaryote. Its description in RNAcentral is "partial 16S ribosomal RNA". It matches the Rfam family "Bacterial small subunit ribosomal RNA", at positions 524 to 776 of the family's 1533-position model. The record is from RNAcentral.
UACAGAGGGUGCAAGCGUUGUUCGGAAUUAUUGGGCGUAAAGCGCGUGUAGGCGGCUUUGCAAGUCGGGUGUGAAAGCCCUCAGCUUAACUGAGGAAGUGCGCCCGAAACUGCAUGGCUUGAGUACCGGAGAGGAUGGUGGAAUUCCCGAAGUAGAGGUGUAAUUCGUAGAUAUCGGGAGGAACACCGGUGGCGAAGGCGACCAUCUGGACGGAUACUGACGCUGAGACGCGAAAGCGUGGGUAGCAAACAGG